RNAcentral lists this transfer RNA (71 nucleotides) under Loxodonta africana (African savanna elephant). It matches the Rfam family "tRNA". From Rfam's summary of the family: Transfer RNA (tRNA) molecules are approximately 80 nucleotides in length. Their secondary structure includes four short double-helical elements and three loops (D, anti-codon, and T loops). The record is from Rfam by way of RNAcentral. Lineage: Eukaryota; Metazoa; Chordata; Mammalia; Proboscidea; Elephantidae.
GCAGUGGUGGUUCAGUGGUAGAAUUCUCACCUUCCAUGUGGGAGACCUUGGUUCGAUCCCCAGCCAGUGUA